Molecule: ribosomal RNA, 664 nt
Filed under: Salmonella enterica subsp. enterica serovar Welikade
Lineage: Bacteria; Pseudomonadati; Pseudomonadota; Gammaproteobacteria; Enterobacterales; Enterobacteriaceae
Description: partial 23S ribosomal RNA
Rfam family: Bacterial large subunit ribosomal RNA
Source: RNAcentral
UAAUGGGUCAGCGACUUAUAUUCUGUAGCAAGGUUAACCGAAUAGGGGAGCCGGAGGGAAACCGAGUCUUAAUUGGGCGUUAAGUUGCAGGGUAUAGACCCGAAACCCGGUGAUCUAGCCAUGGGCAGGUUGAAGGUUGGGUAACACUAACUGGAGGACCGAACCGACUAAUGUUGAAAAAUUAGCGGAUGACCUGUGGCUGGGGGUGAAAGGCCAAUCAAACCGGGAGAUAGCUGGUUCUCCCCGAAAGCUAUUUAGGUAGCGCCUCGUGAAUUCAUCUCCGGGGGUAGAGCACUGUUUCGGCUAGGGGGCCAUCCCGGCUUACCAACCCGAUGCAAACUGCGAAUACCGGAGAAUGUUAUCACGGGAGACACACGGCGGGUGCUAACGUCCGUCGUGAAGAGGGAAACAACCCAGACCGCCAGCUAAGGUCCCAAAGUCAUGGUUAAGUGGGAAACGAUGUGGGAAGGCCCAGACAGCCAGGAUGUUGGCUUAGAAGCAGCCAUCAUUUAAAGAAAGCGUAAUAGCUCACUGGUCGAGUCGGCCUGCGCGGAAGAUGUAACGGGGCUAAACCAUGCACCGAAGCUGCGGCAGCGACGCUGAUGCGUUGUUGGGUAGGGGAGCGUUCUGUAAGCCUGCGAAGGUGUGUCGUGAGGCAUGCUGG